GAUGAACGCUGACAGAAUGCUUAACACAUGCAAGUCAACUUGAACUUCGGUUUGGGUGGCGGACGGGUGAGUAACGCGUAAAGAACUUGCCUCACAGAUAGGGACAACAUUUAGAAAUGAAUGCUAAUACCUGAUAUUAUGAUUUUAAGGCAUCUUAGAAUUAUGAAAGCUAUAUGCACUGUGAGAGAGCUUUGCGUCCCAUUAGCUAGUUGGAGAGGUAACGGCUCACCAAGGCGAUGAUGGGUAGCCGGCCUGAGAGGGUGAUCGGCCACAAGGGGACUGAGACACGGCCCUUACUCCUACGGGAGGCAGCAGUGGGGAAUAUUGGACAAUGGACCAAGAGUCUGAUCCAGCAAUUCUGUGUGCACGAUGAAGUUUUUCGGAAUGUAAAGUGCUUUCAGUUGGGAAGAAAAAAAUGACGGUACCAACAGAAGAAGUGACGGCUAAAUACGUGCCAGCAGCCGCGGUAAUACGUAUGUCACGAGCGUUAUCCGGAUUUAUUGGGCGUAAAGCGCGUCUAGGUGGUUAUGUAAGUCUGAUGUGAAAAUGCAGGGCUCAACUCUGUAUUGCGUUGGAAACUGUAUAACUAGAGUACUGGAGAGGUAAGCGGAACUACAAGUGUAGAGGUGAAAUUCGUAGAUAUUUGUAGGAAUGCCGAUGGGGAAGCCAGCUUACUGGACAGAUACUGACGCUAAAGCGCGAAAGCGUGGUAGCAAACAGG
RNAcentral lists this ribosomal RNA (721 nucleotides) under uncultured Fusobacterium sp. RNAcentral's name for it is "bacterial SSU rRNA". It matches the Rfam family "Bacterial small subunit ribosomal RNA", at positions 28 to 776 of the family's 1533-position model. Lineage: Bacteria; Fusobacteriati; Fusobacteriota; Fusobacteriia; Fusobacteriales; Fusobacteriaceae. The record is from RNAcentral.